GCGUAAUCACUUGUUCUUUAAAUGAGGACUCGUAUGAACGGCUUCACGAAUGCUAUACUGUCUCCUUUAUCCAAUCAGUUAAACUAAUCUCCCCGUGAAGAAGCGGGGAUUCACCUAUAAGACGAGAAGACCCUAUGGAGCUUUAAACACUCUUAAACAUUUGAACCCUUUAUUAUUUACCUCCAGAAAACUUCACUAAACCCCCUCAUUUUGUUUAAACUUUUAGGUUGGGGCGACCACGGAGAAAAACCUAACCUCCACGUGGAAAGAAACUUAAUUCUAAGCAAAAAGCCACAUCUUUAUGCAUCAAUAAUAUUGACCUAAAUUGACCCAAUUAUUUGAUAAACGAACCAAGUUACCCUAGGGAUAACAGCGCAAUCCGCUUUAAGAGCUCCUAUCGACAAGCGGGCUUACGACCUCGAUGUUGGAUCAGGACAUCCCA
Molecule: ribosomal RNA, 442 nt
Filed under: Allobates fuscellus
Lineage: Eukaryota; Metazoa; Chordata; Amphibia; Anura; Aromobatidae
Description: partial large subunit ribosomal RNA
Rfam family: Bacterial large subunit ribosomal RNA
Source: RNAcentral